GAUGAACGCUGGCGGCGUGCCUAAUACAUGCAAGUCGAGCGAACGGACGAGAAGCUUGCUCCUCUGAUGUUAGCGGCGGACGGGUGAGUAACACGUGGAUAACCUACCUAUAAGACUGGGAUAACUUCGGGAAACCGGAGCUAAUACCGGAUAAUAUUUUGAACCGCAUGGUUCAAAAGUGAAAGACGGUCUUGCUGUCACUUAUAGAUGGAUCCGCGCUGCAUUAGCUAGUUGGUAAGGUAACGGCUUACCAAGGCAACGAUGCAUAGCCGACCUGAGAGGGUGAUCGGCCACACUGGAACGGAGACACGGUCCAGACUCCUACGGGAGGCAGCAGUAGGGAAUCUUCCGCAAGGGGCGAAAGCCUGACGGAGCAACGCCGCGUGAGUGAUGAAGGUCUUCGGAUCGUAAAACUCUGUUAUUAGGGAAGAACAUAUGUGUAAGUAACUGUGCACAUCUUGACGGUACCUAAUCAGAAAGCCACGGCUAACUACGUG
This 497-nucleotide ribosomal RNA is filed under the name uncultured bacterium. Its description in RNAcentral is "partial 16S ribosomal RNA". It matches the Rfam family "Bacterial small subunit ribosomal RNA", at positions 28 to 507 of the family's 1533-position model. The record is from RNAcentral.